RNAcentral lists this long non-coding RNA (1159 nucleotides) under Ovis aries (sheep). Its description in RNAcentral is "lncRNA (ENSOARG00000025995.1)". The record is from RNAcentral. Lineage: Eukaryota; Metazoa; Chordata; Mammalia; Artiodactyla; Bovidae.
CUCAUCCCCCUUCUUCCCUCUUAACACAUCUCCAUAAUGAUGGCUUUCACCUGUUAGCUCGCAUGUGCCUGGCACAGUAUGAGACGAGACAGAGUUCACUUCUGGACUGAACUGUGUUUCUGCAGGUGAGCUCUCCCCUGUAAUAUAUCCAUCUACCCUUGGCAAGGACAAGCCCUGGUAUAACCCAGUGUCCCUACAUUAGCAGUAUAUUUGGAGAGUCUGCUAUUGGCUUAGAGGCUGUAAGUCCUUGAGGGUAAGGAACAUGGAAUCAUUACUCUGAAUCUUCAGGCAGCUAAUAAAGUAUUACACCCUGUGGGCAUUUGAUAGCUAUUUGCUAUUUGCUUCUCUUCUCCCACAUGAAAUCUUAAGAUUCCACCACUUGGGAACUCAGUUCUACCGGGCCACUCCUCUUCCAAGCUCAGCUUUGGGAAAUAAGGAGUGUGUCUUCCCACAUACGGCUCUUUUCAACUUAAUGUGUUCAUUUGAGCACCUAGAAACCAUGGUGACAGGUGCCACAGAAAUAGAAAGAGCAGGGAGGUGGAACACAGAAAGGGAGGGCCCGAAACACCAGAGGGCUGGAAGCAGUGCUUUCGGGACACCAGUGUGUAUUUUGAGCCAGCGGGAUUAUUUAUCAUGUCUUUGUGCACAGCCUCUGCCUUGGGAACGUAGAUGCUGUAGCUUCCUUACGCACUUACAUUCUCUGGGUCUCCAGAGGAGGAGAGACGCUGCAUUCAGUGUUAAAGGGUUUGCCUCUGGCGCUGGAAAGUGGAAAAUCAACUUGAAAGAGAAAACCAAAUUACCCUGCCAUCUAGAAAUCUCGGGAGAUAGGCCACACAAAGUGAACUUGGUUUAUUGUUAUCUUCAAGGCCUCCUGUUGGCUCCAGUCAUCCUGAAGAUCUCAGGGGAGCAGAUUCUCCCUCCCAUAGAGGUGCUUAUGGGUGGGCUGGCCCCAUGGGCUGCUCCAGGAGAGAAUGGGGUCCUCACACAGCCACUGAGGACCACAGGUUGGAUAACAAGGAUGCUCCUGAGAUACAGUAUCAUAGACAAGACCUGGUUUAGAAUCUGGGCUCCCCCAUCUACCAGCUGUGUGAUCUUCCCCAUGUGCUCUGAGUUCUGGGCUUCAGUUUCCUCGUGUGAUGCAAUGAUCAGAAUUGUCUAA